GAUGAACGCUGACAGAAUGCUUAACACAUGCAAGUCAACUUGAAUUUGGGUUUUUAACUUAGGUUUGGGUGGCGGACGGGUGAGUAACGCGUAAAGAACUUGCCUCACAGCUAGGGACAACAUUUGGAAACGAAUGCUAAUACCUAAUAUUAUGAUAAUAGGGCAUCCUAUAAUUAUGAAAGCUAUAAGCGCUGUGAGAGAGCUUUGCGUCCCAUUAGCUGGUUGGAGAGGUAACGGCUCACCAAGGCGAUGAUGGGUAGCCGGCCUGAGAGGGUGAUCGGCCACAAGGGGACUGAGACACGGCCCUUACUCCUACGGGAGGCAGCAGUGGGGAAUAUUGGACAAUGGACCGAGAGUCUGAUCCAGCAAUUCUGUGUGCACGAUGAAGUUUUUCGGAAUGUAAAGUGCUUUCAGUUGGGAAGAAACAAAUGACGGUACCAACAGAAGAAGUGACGGCUAAAUACGUG
RNAcentral lists this ribosomal RNA (467 nucleotides) under uncultured bacterium. RNAcentral describes it as "partial 16S ribosomal RNA". It matches the Rfam family "Bacterial small subunit ribosomal RNA", at positions 28 to 507 of the family's 1533-position model. The record is from RNAcentral.